This 520-nucleotide ribosomal RNA is filed under the name uncultured Glomus. Its description in RNAcentral is "SSU rRNA". It matches the Rfam family "Eukaryotic small subunit ribosomal RNA", at positions 569 to 1091 of the family's 1831-position model. The record is from RNAcentral. Lineage: Eukaryota; Fungi; Glomeromycota; Glomeromycetes; Glomerales; Glomeraceae.
AGCAGCCGCGGUAAUUCCAGCUCCAAUAGCGUAUAUUAAAGUUGUUGCAGUUAAAAAGCUCGUAGUUGAAUUUCGGGAUCAAUAUAUCGGUCGUGCCUUCGGUACGUACUGGUAUCAUUGGUUUCUCCUUUCUGACGAACCAUGAUGUCAUUAAUUUGGUGUUAUGGGGAGUUAGGACUGUUACUUUGAAAAAUUAGAGUGUUUAAAGCAGGCUUUAGCUUGAAUACAUUAGCAUGGAAUAAUGAAAUAGGACGUUCGAACCUAUUUUGUUGGUUUCUAGGAUCAACGUAAUGAUUAAUAGGGAUAGUUGGGGGCAUUAGUAUUCAAUUGUCAGAGGUGAAAUUCUUGGAUUUAUUGAAGACUAACUACUGCGAAAGCAUUUGCCAAGGAUGUUUUCAUUAAUCAAGAACGAAAGUUAGGGGAUCGAAGACGAUCAGAUACCGUCGUAGUCUUAACCAUAAACUAUGCCGACUAGGGAUCGGAUGAUGUUAAUUUUUUAAUGACUCAUUCGGCGCCUUAC